AGUGAACGCUGGCGGUAGGCCUAACACAUGCAAGUCGAACGGCAGCACAGUAAGAGCUUGCUCUUACGGGUGGCGAGUGGCGGACGGGUGAGGAAUACAUCGGAAUCUACUUUUUCGUGGGGGAUAACGUAGGGAAACUUACGCUAAUACCGCAUACGACCUACGGGUGAAAGCAGGGGAUCUUCGGACCUUGCGCGAUUGAAUGAGCCGAUGUCGGCUUAGCUAGUUGGCGGGGUAAAGGCCCACCAAGGCGACGAUCCGUAGCUGGUCUGAGAGGAUGAACAGCCAGACUGGAACUGAGACACGGUCCAGACUCCUACGGGAGGCAGCGGUGGGGAAUAUUGGACGAUGGGGGAAAGCCUGAUCCAGCCAUACCGCGUGAGUGAAGAAGGCCUUCGGGUUGGAAAGCCCUUUUGUUGGGAAAGAAAAGCAGCAGGUUAAUACGCCGCUGUUCUGACGGUACCCAAAGAAUAAGCACCGGCUAACUUCGUG
Molecule: ribosomal RNA, 492 nt
Filed under: uncultured bacterium
Lineage: Bacteria
Description: partial 16S ribosomal RNA
Rfam family: Bacterial small subunit ribosomal RNA
Source: RNAcentral